CAGCAGCCGCGGGAAUACGGAGGGUGCAAGCGUUAUCCGGAUUUAUUGGGUUUAAAGGGUCCGUAGGCGGACUUAUAAGUCAGUGGUGAAAGCCUGUCGCUUAACGAUAGAACUGCCAUUGAUACUGUAAGUCUUGAGUAUAUUUGAGGUAGCUGGAAUAAGUAGUGUAGCGGUGAAAUGCAUAGAUAUUACUUAGAACACCAAUUGCGAAGGCAGGUUACCAAGAUAUAACUGACGCUGAGGGACGAAAGCGUGGGUAGCGAACAGGAUUAGAUACCCCGGUAGUCCCUGUCUCUUAUAC
Molecule: ribosomal RNA, 301 nt
Filed under: uncultured bacterium
Lineage: Bacteria
Description: partial 16S ribosomal RNA
Rfam family: Bacterial small subunit ribosomal RNA
Source: RNAcentral